CAUGUUAUAGUUCUUAGCAAGCAGGUGUCUUCUUGAGGAUACAUUCAGCAAUCAAUAACAUUGGUUGGAAAUGAGUGUUUUUCCAUGACACCAAAACCAAAUUUUGGAAAAUUCUUUCAGAUUUUUCACAGAUUGUUUGAAUUUAAUCCAUUGCUCACAUUUUAUGAUGGGGAAACCAAGGCCCAGAAAAGGAAAGUGAUUUGCCCGGACCAUAUAGUAGGUAAUACUAAGAACUUGAAGAGCUAGGAUUCUGAUAUGGAUCAGCCUGACUUCAAAGCCUCACUCUUCCAUGUAUCAAGCCACACAAUCAGAAAAUGCCCAGCCAACCCAACCACAUAAAUCCAAGGAUGCCUAUAAGCCUCAGCUUUGUGAAUCAGCUCUGCCUCUCAGUUAUCCUCAGCACCCUUCUUCUGGAAUAUGUUUUUAACUGUAGAGAACAUAAGAGCAAACUUUCCAGCAAUGGGAGGACUCUUCACAUUCAACUCUAGUUAAAUCAGCAACAUUAAACCUCGUUUCCCUGUGGGAAUGCUGCAGUUACUAGCAACUUGCCCCAGACAGAGCACUGUAGAGCAGAGCUGGGGCGCUUAACCCUGAGCCUUCCCAGGGAGGUCAAGUCAUGAUGAUCAGUUCCA
This is a long non-coding RNA of Mesoplodon densirostris (Blainville's beaked whale), 632 nucleotides long. RefSeq lists it as uncharacterized. NCBI's taxonomy places the organism in Eukaryota, Metazoa, Chordata, Mammalia, Artiodactyla, Ziphiidae. The record is from RefSeq and is a predicted model, not a curated record. The transcript is spliced from 5 exons.